GGAUUAGAUACCCUGGUAGUCCACGCCGUAAACGAUGUCUAUUAGCCGUUGGGCCUGUUAUGGGCUUGGUGGCGAAGCUAACGCGAUAAAUAGACCGCCUGGGGAGUACGGCCGCAAGGUUAAAACUCAAAUGAAUUGACGGGGGCCCGCACAAGCGGUGGAGCAUGUGGUUUAAUUCGAAGCAACGCGAAGAACCUUACCUGGCCUUGACAUCCUGCGAACUUUCUAGAGAUAGAUUGGUGCCUUCGGGAACGCAGAGACAGGUGCUGCAUGGCUGUCGUCAGCUCGUGCUG
This 293-nucleotide ribosomal RNA is filed under the name uncultured bacterium. RNAcentral describes it as "partial 16S ribosomal RNA". It matches the Rfam family "Bacterial small subunit ribosomal RNA", at positions 775 to 1067 of the family's 1533-position model. The record is from RNAcentral.